This 496-nucleotide ribosomal RNA is filed under the name uncultured bacterium. RNAcentral describes it as "partial 16S ribosomal RNA". It matches the Rfam family "Bacterial small subunit ribosomal RNA", at positions 28 to 507 of the family's 1533-position model. The record is from RNAcentral.
GAUGAACGCUGGCGGCGUGCCUAAUACAUGCAAGUCGAGCGAACGGACGAGAAGCUUGCUUCUCUGAUGUUAGCGGCGGACGGGUGAGUAACACGUGGAUAACCUACCUAUAAGACUGGGAUAACUUCGGGAAACCGGAGCUAUACCGGAUAAUAUUUUGAACCGCAUGGUUCAAAAGUGAAAGGCGGUCUUGCUGUCACUUAUAGAUGGAUCCGCGCUGCAUUAGCUAGUUGGUAAGGUAACGGCUUACCAAGGCAACGAUGCAUAGCCGACCUGAGAGGGUGAUCGGCCACACUGGAACUGAGACACGGUCCAGACUCCUACGGGAGGCAGCAGUAGGGAAUCUUCCGCAAUGGGCGAAAGCCUGACGGAGCAACGCCGCGUGAGUGAUGAAGGUCUUCGGAUCGUAAAACUCUGUUAUUAGGGAAGAACAUAUGUGUAAGUAACUGUGCACAUCUUGACGGUACCUAAUCAGAAAGCCACGGCUAACUACGUG